UACGAAGGGGGCUAGCGUUGUUCGGAUUUACUGGGCGUAAAGCGCACGUAGGCGGAUCGUUAAGUCGGGGGUAAAUACCUGGAGCUCAACUCCAGAACUGCCUUCGAUACUGGCGAUCUUGAGUCCGGAAGAGGUGAGUGGAACUCCUAGUGUAGAGGUGGAAUUCGUAGAUAUUAGGAAGAACACCAGUGGCGAAGGCGGCUCACUGGUCCGGUACUGACGCUGAGGUGCGAAAGCGUGGGGAGCAAACAGG
RNAcentral lists this ribosomal RNA (253 nucleotides) under uncultured bacterium. RNAcentral's name for it is "partial 16S ribosomal RNA". It matches the Rfam family "Bacterial small subunit ribosomal RNA", at positions 524 to 776 of the family's 1533-position model. The record is from RNAcentral.